This 450-nucleotide ribosomal RNA is filed under the name uncultured Glomus. RNAcentral describes it as "SSU rRNA". It matches the Rfam family "Eukaryotic small subunit ribosomal RNA", at positions 569 to 1024 of the family's 1831-position model. Lineage: Eukaryota; Fungi; Glomeromycota; Glomeromycetes; Glomerales; Glomeraceae. The record is from RNAcentral.
AGCAGCCGCGGUAAUUCCAGCUCCAAUAGCGUAUAUUAAAGUUGUUGCAGUUAAAAAGCUCGUAGUUGAAUUUCGAGACCGGCUUACUGGUCGUGCUAUUGUGCGUACUGGUAUAAUCGGUUUCUCCUUUCUGACGAACUAUAAUGCCAUUAAUUUGGUGUUAUAGGGAAUCAGGACUGUUACUUUGAAAAAUUAGAGUGUUUAAAGCAGGCUCACGCUUGAAUACAUUAGCAUGGAAUAACGGAAUAGGACGUUUGAUUCUAUUUUGUUGGUUUCUAGGAUCGACGUAAUGAUUAAUAGGGAUAGUUGGGGGCAUUAGUAUUCAAUUGUCAGAGGUGAAAUUCUUGGAUUUAUUGAAGACUUAACUACUGCGAAAGCAUUUGCCAAGGAUGUUUUCAUUAAUCAAGAACGAAAGUUAGGGGAUCGAAGACGAUCAGAUACCGUCGUAGU